GCUCCUUUUGUAAGCUUUGGCAGCACCUGCAUAUUGGUGCCACACAGAGAAGAUUAGCCUGGCCCCUGAGAAAGGAUGAGACCAAAUUUUCUGGGGAGAGAUUUUUUU
This is a non-coding RNA of Alligator mississippiensis (American alligator), 108 nucleotides long. Lineage: Eukaryota; Metazoa; Chordata; Crocodylia; Alligatoridae. The record is from Rfam.